AACCUUAUGGACCUGCGGGCGUAUACCUGCGGAGGGAUCAUUACAAGUGACCCCGGUCUAACCACCGGGAUGUUCAUAACCCUUUGUUGUCCGACUCUGUUGCCUCCGGGGCGACCCUGCCUUCGGGCGGGGGCUCCGGGUGGACACUUCAAACUCUUGCGUAACCUUGCAGUCUGAGUAAACUUAAUUAAUAAAUUAAAACUUUCAACAAUGGAUCU
RNAcentral lists this unclassified non-coding RNA (218 nucleotides) under soil metagenome. RNAcentral's name for it is "partial contains 5.8S ribosomal RNA, internal transcribed spacer 2, and large subunit ribosomal RNA". The record is from RNAcentral.